CGGAGGUGCGAGCGUUAAUCGGAAUUACUGGGCGUAAAGCGUACGCAGGCGGUUUGUUAAGCGAGAUGUGAAAGCCCCGGGCUCAACCUGGGAACUGCAUUUCGAACUGGCAAACUAGAGUGUGAUAGAGGGUGGUAGAAUUUCAGGUGUAGCGGUGAAAUGCGUAGAGAUCUGAAGGAAUACCGAUGGCGAAGGCAGCCACCUGGGUCAACACUGACGCUCAUGUACGAAAGCGUGGGGGAGCAAACAGGAUU
RNAcentral lists this ribosomal RNA (254 nucleotides) under uncultured bacterium. RNAcentral's name for it is "partial 16S ribosomal RNA". It matches the Rfam family "Bacterial small subunit ribosomal RNA", at positions 527 to 779 of the family's 1533-position model. The record is from RNAcentral.